This 1969-nucleotide ribosomal RNA is filed under the name human metagenome. RNAcentral describes it as "bacterial LSU rRNA". It matches the Rfam family "Bacterial large subunit ribosomal RNA", at positions 1 to 1999 of the family's 2925-position model. The record is from RNAcentral.
GUCAAGUACAAAGAGCAUCGGGUGGAUGCCUUGGCACUGGGAGCCGAAGAAGGACGUGAUAAGCUGCGAUAAGCUGCGGUAAGGAGCACAUAUCCGAUAUACCCGCAGAUUUCCGAAUGGGGGAACCCACAUACGGUAAUGCGUAUGUAUCAUUAAGUGAAUACAUAGCUUAAUGAAGGGAACGGGGUGAACUGAAACAUCUAAGUAGCCCUAGGAAGAGAAAGAAAAAUCGAUUUCCUGAGUAGCGGCGAGCGAAAGGGAAAGAGGCCAAACCAAAUUGUUUACAGUUUGGGGUUGUGGACCACCGACAUUGACGAAGUUAUGCGAGCCGAAUAGGGUUGGAAAGCUCAAGCAGAGAAGGUAAUACUCCUGUAGGCGAAGCAGAAAGCGCAUAGGUGGCACCAGAGUAGGACCGGACACGUGUAACCCGGUCUGAAGCAGGAGGGACCACCCUCCAAGCCUAAAUACUACCCAGUGACCGAUAGCGAAUAGUACCGUGAGGGAAAGGUGAAAAGAACCCCGGGAGGGGAGUGAAAUAGAAUCUGAAACCUGAUGCUUACAAGCAUAGGGAGCGCAAGUGACCUAGUACUUUUUGUAGAACGGGCCAACGAGUUAUGGUAUGUAGCGAGGUUAAGUUGCUGGAGCAACGGAGCCGUAGAGAAAUCGAGUCUGAAUAGGGCGAGAGUUACAUGCUGUAGACCCGAAACCGGGUGACCUAUCCAUGAGCAGGUUGAAGUAACCGUAAAAGGUUAUGGAGGACCGAACCUAUAUCUGUUGAAAAAGGUUAGGAUGACUUGUGGAUAGCGGUGAAAUUCCAAUCGAACUCGGAUAUAGCUGGUUCUCCUCGAAAUAGCUUUAGGGCUAGCCUCAAGGUAAAGAUACACGGGGGUAGAGCACUGACUGUUCGCGGGGCCUUCACCGGUUACCAACAACUAUCAAACUCCGAAUACCGUGCUAUCAUACUUGGGAGUCAGACUAUGAGAGAUAAGUUCCAUGGUCGAAAGGGAAACAGCCCAGAUCAACAGCUAAGGUCCCAAAGAGUAAGUUAAGUGGAAAAGGAUGUGGGAUUGCACAAACAGCUAGGAUGUUGGCUUAGAAGCAGCCAUACAUUUAAAGAGUGCGUAAUAGCUCACUAGUCGAGUGAUCCUGCGCCGAAGAUAAACGGGGCUCAAACUUACCACCGAAGCUUUGGAAUUAGUAUAACUAAUUGGUAGAGGAGCAUUCUAUACAGGUAGAAGGAGGCGCGUAAGCAAAUCUGGACGGUAUAGAAGAGAGAAUGUUGGCAUGAGUAGCGUAAGGCGGGUGAGAAUCCCGUCCGCCGAAAAUCUAAGGUUUCCUGAGGAAGGUUCGUCCUCUCAGGGUAAGUCGGGACCUAAGCCGAGAGCGAACGCUGUAGGCGAUGGACAACAGGUUGAUAUUCCUGUACCACCAAGGAUUGUUUGAAUGAAGUGGGGACACAGAAGGAUAGAUUGAGCACGCCGUUGGUUGAGCGUGUCCAAGCAGCAAGGCUUGAAAGUAGGCAAAUCCGCUUUCUACAAGGCUGAGCUGUGAUGGGGUGGUCGAAUGACCGGUAGCAAUCGAUUUCACGCUGUCAAGAAAAGCCGCUAAUGAGAUCCAAGGUGCCCGUACCGCAAACCGACACAGGUAGAUGAGGAGAGAAUCCUAAGGUGAGCGAGCGAACUAUUGUUAAGGAACUCGGCAAAAUAACCCCGUAACUUCGGGAGAAGGGGUGCCUGCUUCGGCAGGCCGCAGUGAAGAGGUCCAGGCAACUGUUUACCAAAAACACAGGUCUCUGCUAAAGCGAAAGCUGAUGUAUAGGGGCUGACGCCUGCCCGGUGCUGGAAGGUUAAGGGGAAGUGUUAGGGCAACCGAAGCACAGAACUUAAGCCCCAGUAAACGGCGGCCGUAACUAUAACGGUCCUAAGGUAGCGAAAUUCCUUGUCGGGUAAGUUCCGACCCGCACGAAAGG